ACGCACGCUGGCGGCGUGCUUCACCCCUGCAAGUCGAGCGGUAAGGCCUUUCGGGGUCCACGAGCGGCGAACGGGUGAGUAACACGUGGGUGAUCUGCCCUGCACUUCGGGAUAAGCCUGGGAAACUGGGUCUAAUACCGGAUAUGACCUCCUAUCGCAUGGUGGGUGGUGGAAAGAUUUAUCGGUGCAGGAUGGGCCCGCGGCCUAUCAGCUUGUUGGUGGGGUAAUGGCCUACCAAGGCGACGACGGGUAGCCGACCUGAGAGGGUGACCGGCCACACUGGGACUGAGACACGGCCCAGACUCCUACGGGAGGCAGCAGUGGGGAAUAUUGCACAAUGGGCGAAAGCCUGAUGCAGCGACGCCGCGUGAGGGAUGACGGCCUUCGGGUUGUAAACCUCUUUCAGCAGGGACGAAGCGCAAGUGACGGUACCUGCAGAAGAAGCACCGGCUAACUACGUG
RNAcentral lists this ribosomal RNA (461 nucleotides) under uncultured bacterium. Its description in RNAcentral is "partial 16S ribosomal RNA". It matches the Rfam family "Bacterial small subunit ribosomal RNA", at positions 29 to 507 of the family's 1533-position model. The record is from RNAcentral.